RNAcentral lists this ribosomal RNA (201 nucleotides) under uncultured bacterium. RNAcentral's name for it is "partial 16S ribosomal RNA". It matches the Rfam family "Bacterial small subunit ribosomal RNA", at positions 524 to 719 of the family's 1533-position model. The record is from RNAcentral.
GACGAACUGUGCAAACGUUAUUCGGAAUCACUGGGCUUAAAGGGUGCGUAGGCGGUCGUUGUAAGUAGGGUGUGAAAGCCCCCCGGCUCAACCGGGGAACUGCGUCCUAAACUGCGAGGCUAGAGUGAGGUGAGGGGUGUGUGGAACGUUCCAGUGGAGACGGUGAAAUGUGUUGAUAUUGGAAGGAACGCCGGUGGCGCA